GACGAACGCUGGCGGCGUGCUUAACACAUGCAAGUCGAACGGAAAGGCCCUGCUUUUGUGGGGUGCCCGAGUGGCGAACGGGUGAGUAACACGUGAGUAACCUGCCCUUGACUUUCGGGUAACUUCACGAAACUGGGGCUAAUACCGGAUAGGAGCUCCUGCUGCAUGGUGGGGGUUGGAAAGUUUCGGCGGUUGGGGAUGGACUCGCGGCUUAUCAGCUUGUUGGUUGGGUAGUGGCUUACCAAGGGUUUGACGGGUAGCCGGCCUGGGAAGGUGAACGGCCACAUUGGGACUACGAUACGGCCCAGACUCCUACGGGAGGCAGCAGUGGGGAAUAUUGCACAGUGGGCGGAAGCCUGAUGCAGCAACGCCGCGUGCGGGAUGACGGCCUUCGGGUUGUGAACCGCUUUCGCCUGUGACGAAGCGUGAGUGACGGUAAUGGGUAAAGAAGCACCGGCUAACUACGUG
RNAcentral lists this ribosomal RNA (468 nucleotides) under uncultured bacterium. RNAcentral's name for it is "partial 16S ribosomal RNA". It matches the Rfam family "Bacterial small subunit ribosomal RNA", at positions 28 to 507 of the family's 1533-position model. The record is from RNAcentral.